GGCCGCGGGAAUUCGAUUCAGGCCUAACACAUGCAAGUCGAGCGGUAGAGAGAAGCUUGCUUCUCUUGAGAGCGGCGGACGGGUGAGUAAUGCCUAGGAAUCUGCCUGGUAGUGGGGGAUAACGUCCGGAAACGGACGCUAAUACCGCAUACGUCCUACGGGGGAAAGCAGGGGACCUUCGGGCCUUGCGCUAUCAGAUGAGCCUAGGUCGGAUUAGCUAGUUGGUGGGGUAAUGGCUCACCAAGGCGACGAUCCGUAACUGGUCUGAGAGGAUGAUCAGUCACACUGGAACUGAGACACGGUCCAGACUCCUACGGGAGGCAGCAGUGGGGAAUAUUGGACAAUGGGCGAAAGCCUGAUCCAGCCAAGCCGCGUGUGUGAAGAAGGUCUUCGGAUUGUAAAGCAAAUGAAGUUGGGAGGAAGGGCAGUAAAUUAAUACUUUGCUGUUU
Molecule: ribosomal RNA, 449 nt
Filed under: uncultured bacterium
Lineage: Bacteria
Description: bacterial SSU rRNA
Rfam family: Bacterial small subunit ribosomal RNA
Source: RNAcentral